This 486-nucleotide ribosomal RNA is filed under the name uncultured Acidobacteriota bacterium. RNAcentral describes it as "bacterial SSU rRNA". It matches the Rfam family "Bacterial small subunit ribosomal RNA", at positions 390 to 896 of the family's 1533-position model. Lineage: Bacteria; Pseudomonadati; Acidobacteriota. The record is from RNAcentral.
AGCGACGCCGCGUGAGCGAUGAAGCCUUCGGGGUGUAAAGCUCUUCGGCAGGGACGAUAAUGACGGUACCUGCAGAAGCAGCUGCGGCUAACUACGUGCCAGCAGCCGCGGUAAUACGUAGGCAGCGAGCGUUGUUCGGAGUUACUGGGCGUAAAGGGUGCGUAGGCGGCCGAUUAAGUUUGUCGUGAAAUCUCCCGGCUCAACUGGGAGGGUGCGGCGAGUACUGACCGGCUAGAGUGUGGGAGAGGAGAGUGGAAUUCCUGGUGUAGCGGUGAAAUGCGUAGAUAUCAGGAGGAACACCGGCGGUGUAGACGGCUCUCUGGACCAUAACUGACGCUGAGGCACGAAAGCGUGGGUAGCAAACAGGAUUAGAUACCCUGGUAGUCCACGCCCUAAACGAUGCACAUUUGGUGUGGGCAGUUCAUUCUGUCCGUGCCGGAGCUAACGCGUUAAAUGUGCCGCCUGGGGAGUACAGUCGCAAGGCUG